UAUUUCUCAACCUUUCUAAGCUUUUUCAUUUAAAGCUUAGUUAGGCUUGGAUUCUGGGAGUUUGCUGGCUCCUCGCAGAGUUAGCUCUCCUUAAAUAUAUUAGCAAGAUCAUCGCUAGAUCAUGUAUGAUAUGAUAAUUAUCUAUAUCAUUGAUGAUACUAGGCAUUUCUUUCACGGAAAAUGAUCAAGCUUUAUAAUCGUCUUAAGACAAAUACAAAUAUAUAUAUAUUUGACUCU
RNAcentral lists this unclassified non-coding RNA (237 nucleotides) under uncultured Entoloma. Its description in RNAcentral is "sequence contains ITS2". Lineage: Eukaryota; Fungi; Basidiomycota; Agaricomycetes; Agaricales; Entolomataceae. The record is from RNAcentral.